RNAcentral lists this ribosomal RNA (508 nucleotides) under Salmonella enterica subsp. enterica serovar Adelaide. Its description in RNAcentral is "partial 23S ribosomal RNA". It matches the Rfam family "Bacterial large subunit ribosomal RNA", at positions 2238 to 2745 of the family's 2925-position model. The record is from RNAcentral. Lineage: Bacteria; Pseudomonadati; Pseudomonadota; Gammaproteobacteria; Enterobacterales; Enterobacteriaceae.
AUCCGGGUUGCGGACAGUGUCUGGUGGGUAGUUUGACUGGGGCGGUCUCCUCCUAAAGAGUAACGGAGGAGCACGAAGGUUGGCUAAUCCUGGUCGGACAUCAGGAGGUUAGUGCAAUGGCAUAAGCCAGCUUGACUGCGAGCGUGACGGCGCGAGCAGGUGCGAAAGCAGGUCAUAGUGAUCCGGUGGUUCUGAAUGGAAGGGCCAUCGCUCAACGGAUAAAAGGUACUCCGGGGAUAACAGGCUGAUACCGCCCAAGAGUUCAUAUCGACGGCGGUGUUUGGCACCUCGAUGUCGGCUCAUCACAUCCUGGGGCUGAAGUAGGUCCCAAGGGUAUGGCUGUUCGCCAUUUAAAGUGGUACGCGAGCUGGGUUUAGAACGUCGUGAGACAGUUCGGUCCCUAUCUGCCGUGGGCGCUGGAGAACUGAGGGGGGCUGCUCCUAGUACGAGAGGACCGGAGUGGACGCAUCACUGGUGUUCGGGUUGUCAUGCCAAUGGCACUGCCCGG